AUGAGGAGGAUCAUCCAAUCAUUCUUGAGUAAUGUUAAACACUUGAGUACCUUGAAUCAAUUUGUCUUUGAAAAAAUGGGAAGGAUGAUUUUGAGUACAACAACAUCCGGUUACACUACUUUUCCAUUUCCUCGACUUUUCACUACUAUCCCUAUUAUUUCAGAUUUCAUGUCCCUCUCUUCAUCUUCGCCUCCCUCUCUCGUCGUCUCCAAACCCUAUCCCACUACAACCCCUUAA
Molecule: non-coding RNA, 237 nt
Organism: Vicia faba (fava bean)
Lineage: Eukaryota; Viridiplantae; Streptophyta; Magnoliopsida; Fabales; Fabaceae
Source: the annotation of a GenBank genome assembly